RNAcentral lists this ribosomal RNA (132 nucleotides) under Ustilago sporoboli-indici. Its description in RNAcentral is "partial 18S ribosomal RNA". It matches the Rfam family "Eukaryotic small subunit ribosomal RNA", at positions 1704 to 1831 of the family's 1831-position model. Lineage: Eukaryota; Fungi; Basidiomycota; Ustilaginomycetes; Ustilaginales; Ustilaginaceae. The record is from RNAcentral.
AGGACUUGGGAGAGUACAUCGGGGGAGCCAGCAAUGGCACCCUGACGGCUCAAACUCUUACAAACUUGGUCAUUUAGAGGAAGUAAAAGUCGUAACAAGGUAUCUGUAGGUGAACCUGCAGAUGGAUCAUUU